Molecule: ribosomal RNA, 497 nt
Filed under: uncultured bacterium
Lineage: Bacteria
Description: partial 16S ribosomal RNA
Rfam family: Bacterial small subunit ribosomal RNA
Source: RNAcentral
GAUGAACGCUGGCGGCGUGCCUAAUACAUGCAAGUCGAGCGAACAGACGAGGAGCUUGCUCCUCUGACGUUAGCGGCGGACGGGUGAGUAACACGUGGAUAACCUACCUAUAAGACUGGGAUAACUUCGGGAAACCGGAGCUAAUACCGGAUAAUAUAUUGAACCGCAUGGUUCAAUAGUGAAAGACGGUUUUGCUGUCACUUAUAGAUGGAUCCGCGCCGCAUUAGCUAGUUGGUAAGGUAACGGCUUACCAAGGCAACGAUGCGUAGCCGACCUGAGAGGGUGAUCGGCCACACUGGAACUGAGACACGGUCCAGACUCCUACGGGAGGCAGCAGUAGGGAAUCUUCCGCAAUGGGCGAAAGCGUGACGGAGCAACGCCGCGUGAGUGAUGAAGGUCUUCGGAUCGUAAAACUCUGUUAUUAGGGAAGAACAAAUGUGUAAGUAACUAGGCACGUCUUGACGGUACCUAAUCAGAAAGCCACGGCUAACUACGUG